CACGUAGGGCGCAAGCGUUGUCCGGAAUUAUUGGGCGUAAAGAGCUCGUAGGCGGUCUGUUGCGUCCGCUGUGAAAACUCGGGGCUUAACCCCGAGCCUGCAGUGGAUACGGGCAGACUAGAGGUAGGUAGGGGAGAAUGGAAUUCCCGGUGUAGCGGUGAAAUGCGCAGAUAUCGGGAGGAACACCGGUGGCGAAGGCGGUUCUCUGGGCCGUUACCUGACGCUGAGGAGCGAAAGCGUGGGAGCGAACAGG
Molecule: ribosomal RNA, 253 nt
Filed under: uncultured bacterium
Lineage: Bacteria
Description: partial 16S ribosomal RNA
Rfam family: Bacterial small subunit ribosomal RNA
Source: RNAcentral